UCUGAUGCACUGGUUAAAAACACAGCAGCCGAUAAUUCAGUUAAUUUACCAAGUGAUUUACCCUUCAAAGCUGCAGGGGUAGCUUUCCUGAAGAGUGCAAAAACUUCUUUAGCUUUCAAAAUGAUAUAAAGUACAAACAGUGUAGCUAAUAUAGACAAAUCUGAUCAUUCAUCAUCAACAAUAACUGCAUCUGAGAAUUAUAGUUCUACAGUAACCAUGGAGUCUAGGUCAGCAAUUACUAUUUCUCAUCCAAGCCGUUUUUGUUUAACUGCUACACAUAGUUACUACGGCAUAGUUAGGGAAUGCCAAGGAAAAGGGUAUGGUGCUUAUAAUGCUGAGCUAUUAUUAAGCAAUAAAGGACAUAUAAUAAAUGGCAUAUAUUAUGCAAAAGGUUCCGUCGAUGGGUCCAUAUGUUCUAAAGUUACUAAUCUUUUAGAACCUAUCAGCCAAACUAAUGUGGUAGAAAAUAUCUUAGAGGUACCUAUGGAAAUAGCUGAUGAGAAACACUCAGAUGCUUUAAAUCAAAAAGAUAUUCCAGAAAAUACCUCAUCUUAUAUGGAAAUAAUUGCUAUAAUAGAAAAUUCCAACAAUCAAAUAGAUAUUGAAAAAGUACCAUUACAAAUUGUACCUAAUACCUUAAGGAAAAAGGAAUCUGCUAAGAAACAUGAGUAUACUUACAUAUGUAUACAUUUAUUAUAUCUAUUUUAUAUAAUUCAUUUAUUAUUAUUAUAUUUAUUUAUUUUUUUCUCCUCACUAGUUCUUCGUUUUUUUAUUACCAAUUUUAUUGAUAUUCCUUUAAACAAAUGCAUUAUUUGAAUAUUUAAAAAAUAUGUUUUUAGGUCUUGAAAAAAGAAGCUGUUUAUUAAAAAGUUUAAAUGUUCAUCGUUCCAUUAAGUUGACACCAAAGGCCAAAAAAAUAUAUACCAAAUUCACAUCUUGGAGGAGUGAAAUAUAUGGAAUGGAAAAAAAAAUGUAAUCUUAUAAAGAGAGAAUAGGUAUUGCCGAAAAAUAUGUCAAUGACACAGAUUUUAAAAACCUCUUAAAACAUAUUAAUAGUCCUACCUACAAGUUCAUUAUAAAAUGAUGUAUAUUAUAUCUAUCUUCACCAAUAAUAAAUUAUUAUUCGUGAAAUCACAGAAACGUACAUGUAUCAGAGACAACUAUUUUUUUCUGCAUGUAUGUUAUUUGGUAGUAUGUUAUGUUUUUGGCAUAGACAUAAUGCAAAAUAGACAAUACUUACAAAAGGUCGCCAAGAAAUGAUAAGUCGAAAAUUCACCUCCAUAUUUUAAAAUUUAGAAUAUAAUACCGUGUAAAUGCAUAUUAUUAUGCAGAACUUAUUGAUUUUAAGAUUUUUACUUGUUUUAAUAAAUAUUUUGUUAAA
This is a long non-coding RNA of Anthonomus grandis grandis, 1381 nucleotides long. RefSeq lists it as uncharacterized. The record is from RefSeq and is a predicted model, not a curated record. The transcript has 4 exons. Lineage: Eukaryota; Metazoa; Arthropoda; Insecta; Coleoptera; Curculionidae.